This 1422-nucleotide ribosomal RNA is filed under the name Klebsiella sp. Ana-ws5. Its description in RNAcentral is "16S ribosomal RNA". It matches the Rfam family "Bacterial small subunit ribosomal RNA". The record is from RNAcentral. Lineage: Bacteria; Pseudomonadati; Pseudomonadota; Gammaproteobacteria; Enterobacterales; Enterobacteriaceae. RNAcentral also lists the same sequence under 1 other name.
GCGGUAGCACAGAGAGCUUGCUCUCGGGUGACGAGCGGCGGACGGGUGAGUAAUGUCUGGGAAACUGCCUGAUGGAGGGGGAUAACUACUGGAAACGGUAGCUAAUACCGCAUAACGUCGCAAGACCAAAGUGGGGGACCUUCGGGCCUCAUGCCAUCAGAUGUGCCCAGAUGGGAUUAGCUAGUAGGUGGGGUAACGGCUCACCUAGGCGACGAUCCCUAGCUGGUCUGAGAGGAUGACCAGCCACACUGGAACUGAGACACGGUCCAGACUCCUACGGGAGGCAGCAGUGGGGAAUAUUGCACAAUGGGCGCAAGCCUGAUGCAGCCAUGCCGCGUGUAUGAAGAAGGCCUUCGGGUUGUAAAGUACUUUCAGCGGGGAGGAAGGCGAUAAGGUUAAUAACCUUGUCGAUUGACGUUACCCGCAGAAGAAGCACCGGCUAACUCCGUGCCAGCAGCCGCGGUAAUACGGAGGGUGCAAGCGUUAAUCGGAAUUACUGGGCGUAAAGCGCACGCAGGCGGUCUGUCAAGUCGGAUGUGAAAUCCCCGGGCUCAACCUGGGAACUGCAUUCGAAACUGGCAGGCUAGAGUCUUGUAGAGGGGGGUAGAAUUCCAGGUGUAGCGGUGAAAUGCGUAGAGAUCUGGAGGAAUACCGGUGGCGAAGGCGGCCCCCUGGACAAAGACUGACGCUCAGGUGCGAAAGCGUGGGGAGCAAACAGGAUUAGAUACCCUGGUAGUCCACGCCGUAAACGAUGUCGAUUUGGAGGUUGUGCCCUUGAGGCGUGGCUUCCGGAGCUAACGCGUUAAAUCGACCGCCUGGGGAGUACGGCCGCAAGGUUAAAACUCAAAUGAAUUGACGGGGGCCCGCACAAGCGGUGGAGCAUGUGGUUUAAUUCGAUGCAACGCGAAGAACCUUACCUGGUCUUGACAUCCACAGAACUUAGCAGAGAUGCUUUGGUGCCUUCGGGAACUGUGAGACAGGUGCUGCAUGGCUGUCGUCAGCUCGUGUUGUGAAAUGUUGGGUUAAGUCCCGCAACGAGCGCAACCCUUAUCCUUUGUUGCCAGCGGUUAGGCCGGGAACUCAAAGGAGACUGCCAGUGAUAAACUGGAGGAAGGUGGGGAUGACGUCAAGUCAUCAUGGCCCUUACGACCAGGGCUACACACGUGCUACAAUGGCAUAUACAAAGAGAAGCGACCUCGCGAGAGCAAGCGGACCUCAUAAAGUAUGUCGUAGUCCGGAUUGGAGUCUGCAACUCGACUCCAUGAAGUCGGAAUCGCUAGUAAUCGUAGAUCAGAAUGCUACGGUGAAUACGUUCCCGGGCCUUGUACACACCGCCCGUCACACCAUGGGAGUGGGUUGCAAAAGAAGUAGGUAGCUUAACCUUCGGGAGGGCGCUUACCACUUUGUGAUUCAUGACUGGGG